UACAGAGGGUGCGAGCGUUAAUCGGAAUUACUGGGCGUAAAGGGCGCGUAGGCGGUUAAUUAAGUUGGAUGUGAAAUCCCUGGGCUUAACCUAGGAACUGCAUACAAGACUGGUUAACUGGAGUGCUGUAGAGGGUAGUGGAAUUUCCGGUGUAGCGGUGAAAUGCGUAGAUAUCGGAAGGAACACCAGUGGCGAAGGCGGCUACCUGGACAGACACUGACGCUGAGGCGCGAAAGCGUGGGGAGCAAACAGG
This 253-nucleotide ribosomal RNA is filed under the name uncultured bacterium. RNAcentral's name for it is "partial 16S ribosomal RNA". It matches the Rfam family "Bacterial small subunit ribosomal RNA", at positions 524 to 776 of the family's 1533-position model. The record is from RNAcentral.